This 405-nucleotide ribosomal RNA is filed under the name Triticum aestivum (bread wheat). Its description in RNAcentral is "partial small subunit ribosomal RNA". The record is from RNAcentral. Lineage: Eukaryota; Viridiplantae; Streptophyta; Magnoliopsida; Poales; Poaceae.
AUGCUUGUCCAUGCCACAAACAUUUUCUUGCCGCACCAUCAUGCACGGCCCUCUCCUUCUCCCACUCAUUUCCCCUCACCUGCCAAUUCCUCUUUGGCACAGUUGGUUGUUCAUCCCUCCACCUCUCCACUUUGCUUGUCGUCGUCAUCCAAUCCAACAGAUUGUUAUGAGCUUGAGCCAUUGUUCUUCUUCAACUUCUUGGUGGGGGUUUUUGAGCUCUGUAACGACAAGUUACCACUUCGGUUUUCCAUUCAAUUUCAACCAACAAUGGGACAACCUGAAUGGCUUGCCCUUGUUUUGGUUGUACAAAUUGGAUCCAUGCUUGUGGCCAACCAAGAUUCACACAACACAUCUUCAUGGCUUGUGAAUGUCGGACCUCUUGCCUUUGCUACCUUCUUUUUUUAG